CAGCCGCCGCGGUAAUACGGAGGGGGCUAGCGUUGUUCGGAAUUACUGGGCGUAAAGCGCACGUAGGCGGCUUGGUAAGUUAGAGGUGAAAGCCCAGGGCUCAACCCUGGAAUUGCCUUUAAGACUGCCGAGCUAGUAGGUGAGAGAGGUAAGUGGAAUUCCGAGUGUAGAGGUGAAAUUCGUAGAUAUUCGGAAGAACACCAGUGGCGAAGGCGGCUUACUGGCUCAUUCUAGACGCUGAGGUGCGAAAGCGUGGGGAGCAAACAGGAUUAGAUACCCCAGUAGUCCCUGUCUCUUAUAC
Molecule: ribosomal RNA, 301 nt
Filed under: uncultured bacterium
Lineage: Bacteria
Description: partial 16S ribosomal RNA
Rfam family: Bacterial small subunit ribosomal RNA
Source: RNAcentral